UGCAUUACGAGCCGCUGACUGGACUUGUUCGGAGUUACCAGCGGAGGUGAGCGUACGUGGUCACCUGCUGUAGAUGGGAAACUCCGGGAUACCGGACUAAUACCGGAUAGUUCCUUGAACCGCAUGGUUCAAGGAUGAAAGACGGUUUCGGCUGUCACUUACAGAUGGACCCGCGGCGCAUUAGCUAGUUGGUGGGGUAAUGGCUCACCAAGGCGACGAUGCGUAGCCGACUGAGAGGUGACCGACUCUCCUGGGACUGAGACACGAUCCAACUCUCUACGGGAGGCAGCAGUAGGGAAUCUUCCGCAAUGAACGAAAGUCUGACGGAGCAACGCCGCGUGAGUGAUGAAGUUUUCGGAUCGUAAAGCUCUGUUGUUAGGAAAAACAAGUGCGAGAGUAACUGCUCGCACCUUGACGGUACCUAACCAGAAAGCCACGGCUAACUACGUGCCAGCAGCCGCGGUAAUACGUAGGUGGCAAGCGUUGUCCGGAAUUAUUGGGCGUAAAGGGCUCGCAGCGGUUUCUUAAGUCUGAUGUGAAAGCCCCCGCUCACCCGGGGAGGGUCAUUGGAAACUGGGAAACUUGAGUGCAGAAGAGGAGAGUGGAAUUCCACGUGUAGCGGUGAAUGCGUAGAGAUGUGGAGAACACAGUGGCGAAGCGACUCUCUGGUCUGUAACUGACGCUGAGGAGCGAAGCGUGGGGAGCGACAGGAUUAGAUACCUGUAGUCCACGCCGUAACGAUGAGUGCUA
Molecule: ribosomal RNA, 750 nt
Filed under: Bacillus pumilus
Lineage: Bacteria; Bacillati; Bacillota; Bacilli; Caryophanales; Bacillaceae
Description: bacterial SSU rRNA
Rfam family: Bacterial small subunit ribosomal RNA
Source: RNAcentral